AUUGAACGCUGGCGGCAGGCUUAACACAUGCAAGUCGAACGCAUCCUUCGGGGUGAGUGGCAGACGGGUGAGUAACGCGUGGGAACGUGCCCUUCAGUUCGGGAUAACCCAGGGAAACUUGGGCUAAUACCGGAUACGUGCGAGAGCAGAAAGAUUUAUCGCUGAAGGAUCGGCCCGCGUCUGAUUAGCUAGUUGGUGGGGUAAUGGCCCACCAAGGCGACGAUCAGUAGCUGGUCUGAGAGGAUGAUCAGCCACAUUGGGACUGAGACACGGCCCAAACUCCUACGGGAGGCAGCAGUGGGGAAUAUUAGACAAUGGGCGCAAGCUUGAUCCAGCCAUGCCGCGUGAGUGAUGAAGGCCUUAGGGUUGUAAAGCUCUUUCGUCCGGGACGAUAAUGACGGUACCGGAAGAAGAAGCCCCGGCUAACUUCGUGCCAGCCGCCGCGGUAA
This 449-nucleotide ribosomal RNA is filed under the name uncultured bacterium. Its description in RNAcentral is "partial 16S ribosomal RNA". It matches the Rfam family "Bacterial small subunit ribosomal RNA", at positions 30 to 523 of the family's 1533-position model. The record is from RNAcentral.